This 75-nucleotide transfer RNA is filed under the name Candidatus Magasanikbacteria bacterium RIFOXYC2_FULL_42_28. RNAcentral's name for it is "tRNA-His". It matches the Rfam family "tRNA". Rfam says of the family: Transfer RNA (tRNA) molecules are approximately 80 nucleotides in length. Their secondary structure includes four short double-helical elements and three loops (D, anti-codon, and T loops). Lineage: Bacteria; Candidatus Magasanikiibacteriota. The record is from RNAcentral.
GUGCCUAUAGUGUAAUGGUUAGCACGAGAGAUUGUGGAUCUCUCAGAAUGGGUUCAAAUCCCAUUAGGCACCCCA